AACAAACAAACAAACAAAGGAUGAACGAAUGAAUCAAUGCCGCUUCUUCUUCUUCUUUUUCCUUCUUUCUUUUCAUUUCACUACUUUUUGUUCGUCUGUUCUUCUGUUUGUUUUUGUUUUGGGGGUUAAACGUCGCUUUGAGAUUUCAUUUUCACAGAUGCAAAAAUAAAAGUG
Molecule: non-coding RNA, 174 nt
Filed under: Aurantiochytrium limacinum
Lineage: Eukaryota; Bigyra; Thraustochytrida; Thraustochytriidae
Source: RNAcentral